UGCAGAAUCCCGCGAACCAUCGAGUCUUUGAACGCAAGUUGCGCCCGAGUCCUUUUGGCCGAGGGCACGCCUGCCUGGGCGUCACGCUAAACACGCUCCCACUCUCCCUCAUCCGGGAGCGGGAUGCGGCAUGUGGUCUCCCGUCUCGCAAGUGGCGGUGGGCCGAAGAUAUGGCUGCCGGCGUAUCGUGCCGGACACAGCGCUAGGUGGGCGUUCUCGCUAAAACUUACCGCAGUGCAUCCGGGGCGUAGCCGACACGAUGGCCUCGAACGACCCUUUGAACGGUGCGCAUGACGCUCCGACCGCGACCCCAGGUCAGACGGGACUACCCGCUGAAUUUAAGCAUAUAAAUAAGCGGAGGAGAAGAAACUUACAAGGAUUCCCCUAGUAACGGCGAGCGAACCGGGAACAGCCCAGCUUGAGAAUCGGGCGGCCAUGCUGUCCGA
Molecule: ribosomal RNA, 446 nt
Filed under: Trisetum flavescens
Lineage: Eukaryota; Viridiplantae; Streptophyta; Magnoliopsida; Poales; Poaceae
Description: eukaryotic LSU rRNA
Rfam family: Eukaryotic large subunit ribosomal RNA (bases 306-446)
Source: RNAcentral